This 640-nucleotide ribosomal RNA is filed under the name uncultured ciliate. Its description in RNAcentral is "SSU rRNA". It matches the Rfam family "Eukaryotic small subunit ribosomal RNA", at positions 341 to 1000 of the family's 1831-position model. Lineage: Eukaryota; Ciliophora. The record is from RNAcentral.
CUACCAUGGCAGUCACGGGUAACGGAGAAUUAGGGUUCGAUUCCGGAGAGGGAGCCUGAGAAACGGCUACCACAUCUAAGGAAGGCAGCAGGCGCGUAAAUUACCCAAUCCCGAUUCGGGGAGGUAGUGACAAGAAAUAGCAACUCGUGCGGGUUUCCGUUACGGGAUUGCAAUGAGAUAAGUCCAAAUCCGUAAACGAUUAACAAUUGGAGGGCAAGUCUGGUGCCAGCAGCCGCGGUAAUUCCAGCUCCAAUAGCGUAUACUUAAGUUGUUGCAGUUAAAAAGCUCGUAGUUGAAAUUCGAGUCAGUUACUAGUUGGCUCUUCGUCAGUUAGUUAAUUGAUUCUCCGUCUACAAUCCCUUUUGCGCUUUAGGGUUGCAGCUGGGCGAGUAGACAAUUUACCUUGAAAAAAUUAGAGUGUUCCAGGCAGGUCUUCGCCGGAAUACAUUAGCAUGGAAUAAUGGAAUAGGACUUGGGUCUUUUGUUGGUUUUAGGACUUGAGUAAUGAUUAAUAGGGACAGAUGGGGGCAUUGGUAUUUAAUUGUCAGAGGUGAAAUUCUUGGAUUUAUUAAAGACUAACUUAUGCGAAAGCAUUUGCCAAGGAUGUUUUCAUUAAUCAAGAACGAAAGUUAGGGGAUCA